Molecule: ribosomal RNA, 253 nt
Filed under: uncultured bacterium
Lineage: Bacteria
Description: partial 16S ribosomal RNA
Rfam family: Bacterial small subunit ribosomal RNA
Source: RNAcentral
UACGGAAGGGGCUAGCGUUGUUCGGAAUUACUGGGCGUAAAGAGCGCGUAGGCGGCUUACCAAGUUGGGGGUGAAAUCCCGGAGCUCAACUCCGGAACGGCCUUCAAAACUGGUAGGCUCGAGUCCGGAAGAGGGGCGUGGAAUUCCCAGUGUAGAGGUGAAAUUCGUAGAUAUUGGGAAGAACACCGGUGGCGAAGGCGGCGCACUGGUCCGGUACUGACGCCGAGGCGCCACCGCGUGGGGAGCCAACAGG